CAGCAGCCGCGGUAAUACGGAGGAUCCAAGCGUUAUCCGGAAUCAUUGGGUUUAAAGGGUCCGUAGGCGGUUUAGUAAGUCAGUGGUGAAGGCCCAUCGCUCAACGAUGGAACGGCCAUUGAUACUGCUAGACUUGAAUUAUUAGGAAGUAACUAGAAUAUGUAGUGUAGCGGUGAAAUGCUUAGAGAUUACAUGGAAUACCAAUUGCGAAGGCAGGUUACUACUAGUUUAUUGACGCUGAUGGACGAAAGCGUGGGGAGCGAACAGGAUUAGAUACCCUGGUAGUCCACGCCGUAAACGAUGGAUACUAGCUGUUUGGAGCAAUCUGAGUGGCUAAGCGAAAGUGAUAAGUAUCCCACCUGGGGAGUACGCACGCAAGUGUGAAACUCAAAGGAAUUG
This 399-nucleotide ribosomal RNA is filed under the name uncultured bacterium. RNAcentral describes it as "bacterial SSU rRNA". It matches the Rfam family "Bacterial small subunit ribosomal RNA", at positions 509 to 912 of the family's 1533-position model. The record is from RNAcentral.